UUUUACCUAGAUUUUUGAAGAGCCUACGCAGCAGAUUUCCAAAGGUAAAUAGUUAAAUCUAGAGUCUGAAAUAAUAGCAACUAUGACUCUGAUUGCAGAUUCGAACGAGGUUGAAAAAUUGAACGGCGACGUGCAAACGGAGGAGGAGGAGGAGAAAGCGCGGGUGAGCCUCAUGAUCAAAUUCAACCACCGCGGUUCCCUUUCGUCGUUGGACAGGGACAAGAUGUACUCAAGUCUGAGCAGGCGGAGCAGCGCCAACAUCGAGCUCAACAGCAAGACGCUGCCGCCCAUCAUGAAGAACUCCUCCAAGCCGGAGUCUAUCAACGCCCUCAUAGAAACCUACAAUCUCCAGAAGAAGUCUCCGCUACAGAUUUCAAGGAAAAUUAGCAAGGUUCAUGAAGAGAAUGAGGUUCUUGCUGCUGAAACAAAUUCUCAACUAUCUCUGAAUCUAACUCAUAGUAAUAGCACUACCCCAGUGCCUCAGCUCCUGGUAGAUGAAUCUCGGCCUCGCAGCGAUUCAAUUCAAGAAGAAUGA
This 535-nucleotide long non-coding RNA is filed under the name Bemisia tabaci. RNAcentral describes it as "lncRNA ENSSSA3NGG011201". The record is from RNAcentral. Lineage: Eukaryota; Metazoa; Arthropoda; Insecta; Hemiptera; Aleyrodidae.